Small nucleolar RNA from Dioscorea cayenensis subsp. rotundata (Guinea yam), 107 nucleotides. The record is from RefSeq and is a predicted model, not a curated record. NCBI's taxonomy places the organism in Eukaryota, Viridiplantae, Streptophyta, Magnoliopsida, Dioscoreales, Dioscoreaceae.
AACCCAUGUUGAGGAUAUUUCUGCAGGAGCUCCAUGAACCUAUCCCAUGUCUCAAAAAGAGACACCUAUUCUAUUUGCACAAAAGUGGAUAUUUCAUUCCUGACCUU